GGCCAAGUUUUUAAGGGCGCACGGUGGAUGCCUUGGCACCAGGAACCGAUGAAGGACGUGGGAGGCCGCGAUAGGCCCCGGGGAGCUGUCAACCGAGCUGUGAUCCGGGGGUGUCCGAAUGGGGAAACCCGGCAGUCGUCAUGGGCUGUCACCCGUACCUGAACACAUAGGGUAUGUGGAGGGAACGCGGGGAAGUGAAACAUCUCAGUACCCGCAGGAAGAGAAAACAACCGUGAUUCCGGGAGUAGUGGCGAGCGAAACUGGAUGAGGCUAAACCGUAUGCGUGUGAUACCCGGCAGGGGUUGCGCAUGUGGGGUUGUGGGAGCUUUCUUCAGCAGUCUGCCGGCUGUUGGGAGAGUCAGAAACCGUUGAUGUAGGCGAAGGGCAUGCGAAAGGCCCGGCGUAGAGGGUAAGACCCCCGUAGUCGAAAUGUCAGCGGCUCUCUUGGAAGCCACCCAAGUAGCACGGGGCCCGAGAAAUCCCGUGUGAAUCUGGCGGGACCACCCGUUAAGCCUAAAUAUUCCCUGGUGACCGAUAGCGGAUAGUACCGUGAGGGAAUGGUGAAAAGUACCGCGGGAGCGGAGUGAAAUAGUACCUGAAACCGUGUGCCUACAAGCCGUGGGAGCGUCGCAUGGCAGGCUUGCCUGUCAUGUCGUGACUGCGUGCCUUUUGAAGAAUGAGCCUGCGAGUUUGCGGUGUGUGGCGAGGUUAACCCGUGUGGGGUAGCCGUAGCGAAAGCGAGUCCGAAGAGGGCGAUCUAGUCGCACGCUCAAGACCCGAAGCGGAGUGAUCUAGCCAUGGGCAGGUUGAAGCGGAGGUAAGACUUCGUGGAGGACCGAACCCACCAGGGUUGAAAACCUGGGGGAUGACCUGUGGUUAGGGGUGAAAGGCCAAUCAAACUCCGUGAUAGCUGGUUCUCCCCGAAAUGCAUUUAGGUGCAGCGUCGUGUGUUUCUUGCCGGAGGUAGAGCACUGGAUAGGCGAUGGGCCCUACCGGGUUACUGACCUUAGCCAAACUCCGAAUGCCGGUAAGUGAGAGCGCGGCAGUGAGACUGUGGGGGAUAAGCUCCAUGGUCGAGAGGGAAACAGCCCAGAGCAUCGACUAAGGCCCCUAAGCGUAUGCUAAGUGGGAAAGGAUGUGGAGUCGCAGAGACAACCAGGAGGUUGGCUUAGAAGCAGCCACCCUUGAAAGAGUGCGUAAUAGCUCACUGGUCAAGUGAUUCCGCGCCGACAAUGUAGCGGGGCUCAAGUAUACCGCCGAAGUCGUGUCACUCACACAUGAGACCUAACGGUUGUGUGGGUGGGUAGGGGAGCGUCGUGUGCCGGGUGAAGCAGCGCCGGAAGGUAGUUGUGGACGGUUCACGAGUGAGAAUGCAGGCAUGAGUAGCGAUACAAGAGUGGGAAACUCUUGCGCCGAUUGA
Molecule: ribosomal RNA, 1420 nt
Filed under: Streptantibioticus rubrisoli
Lineage: Bacteria; Bacillati; Actinomycetota; Actinomycetes; Kitasatosporales; Streptomycetaceae
Description: partial 23S ribosomal RNA
Rfam family: Bacterial large subunit ribosomal RNA
Source: RNAcentral